AUGGUGACACAAUGGGGAGCGGCACUGUUUAACCAAUACCAAUUGAACCAGAUGAAAACUGUGUUCCAGUUUGCUGUUGGAACAGUAAAUAUCAAUCUAUACCAAUUUGUACACGUGUUCUUUUAAACAUUGCAUUAGGCUUCCAUGGAAAGGAUCAAUUUAUGCAGCCCUCUUUUUGUGUUGCGGUGAAUAGAGGGACUGCUCAUGACAAACAUUAACAUGGUAUUAAGAAACGUCUUUUAUUAAAGGAAAUUUAAUAAACAUAAAAAAUUCAAAGCAAGUUUGUUGAAUUGUACAAAGCAUGUCAUCUGUUGUUUUAUUUUCCAAAGUCAAUUAAGUAGGUUAACCAUUUAGAAACUUGAUUGAAGCAAAAUACUAAAUUUGGAAAUGAGCGUAUGAUUUACAGACCUGUGCUUGUUUCCGGAGGUUAGUAUUUUGAAUUUUUUUUAAU
RNAcentral lists this long non-coding RNA (451 nucleotides) under Musa acuminata (dwarf banana). RNAcentral's name for it is "long non-coding RNA (MACU_LNC006472)". The record is from RNAcentral. Lineage: Eukaryota; Viridiplantae; Streptophyta; Magnoliopsida; Zingiberales; Musaceae.